UUUCCUCCCCCCGGGAACCUCCUGACCUGUCCCUCCUCGGAAACCCAUCAGUCACCUCCCAGGCCCCAUCCAAGCAGAUGCUCUUCUCCAAACGGCCAGCCGGGGAAUUUCGGUGCCGGGGCACCUCGCCCGCCAUGACUGAGAUUAAGACACCGAGGCUGAGCCGAGGUGAAAGCCACGGCCAAGGUCACCGACCUGAGAAGAGCUCCAAAGCUUGGCUCCAAGCUCAGAUCUUCUGACUCGAAUCCAGCGCGGCCGAGGCAGGAAACCGGCAGGAUGGCCCCUGCGGGCCGGCUGCUAUGCGCUGGCCCGUCCUCAGAUAAGGAGCUCCCGGGAGAGGAAGGAUCUGGGACAAAGAUCUGAACGGAGCGGGCGGACAGGAAAUUCUGCCGGCUGGGAUUUUCCCUGCCACCGGGACCCAGGCAGAGGGGCAGGAGGGCCAGCGAGCCAGGGUUCCCGAGACGCCCAGUCACGGUGCCAGGCUCCCCAGCGGUCCCCUGGUGGCCGGGAGCCGUCGGAGGUCUGUGCACGGGACAGUCCCAAGGGAUGCUCUCAGGAACCAAGUGAGGCUGCCUUGAAGGACACAGACAGAUCCCUGCAAGCAAGCCGUGGACACUGGUGAAUAACCACAGUGGCUCACAGACGCUGGGGGCUGACUCCGUGCGGCCACGGGAAUGUCCUGCCUGAGCCUCCUUAGAGCCCUUGCAAGGCGGGUACUGUCACUUUCUCACUCUGCAGAUGAAGAGGCAGGAUGGGAGAGGUUAUACGACUUUUCCAGGACCGUACAGCUAGUAGGUUGCACAUCUGGAAAUUUACAUAUAUAUAUUUAUUGAUUUCAGAUAUGAAGAGAGAGAGAGAGAGAGAGAGAGAGAGAGAGAGAGAGAGAAACAUCAAUGAUGAGAGGGAAUCAUG
Myotis myotis is the source of this 912-nucleotide long non-coding RNA. RefSeq lists it as uncharacterized. The record is from RefSeq and is a predicted model, not a curated record. NCBI's taxonomy places the organism in Eukaryota, Metazoa, Chordata, Mammalia, Chiroptera, Vespertilionidae. The transcript is spliced from 4 exons.